GUUCUACUGCCGAGUGGAAAGUGGAACGACGUCAGUUUAUUUUUCCAUCAGAAAAUAAAUUUCCUCGGCGUAUUUUACAUUGCACAUAUCUUGCAAUAAUUAUUUCUCUUAACAGUUACGAGUCGAAAAUUACACCGAGCACGAUACUAAUUAUUCGUAUUACCUAUAAAGAAAUUACACAUUAAGAAUACGUUAGGAGUGAAUGUGAUACGCGAUUUGUUCGUAAACAUGGAAUUAAUUUAUUUCAAUAUGAAAACGAUAUCAUCGUUACGCAAUAAUGUACAAUUAUUAUUGCGAAUCUCUAUUCGAAAGGAAAAAGAAAAUGGAAAAGCCGAUAAUAGGAAAGCGGACGAAUUGUGCGUAGAUCUUCAUGGCUACUCGAGGUUGGAUGCGAAACCUUUGAAAAUAAUAAGACGGCAGAACAGAAAAUUAUACAAAGUUACGAUAGAUGAUAUUUGAGAAAAAAAUAUAGAGUAAGAUGUGAAAACAUAUUAACACUGAUACAUUUUUUCCGAGCGACACGACAAAUACUAGCUGCGAAGUACAGUGCUGUUCGAUUGUUUGCUCACUUACGUACGUGCUACUUACUGAAAGUACUGUUUGCUCGUCCAUUACCGUGUAAUGCUGUGCAAAGAGAAUCCAUUGGAAACACGAAGAGCGAGUGAGACAGAUCAACGCUAAUACUAACGUUUGAUCUAUCGGGUUGGCAACCGAGUGAUUGCGGAUUUUAUCAUUAAGUGGUAAUGACAAAAUCAGCGAUCACUCGACUGCCAACCCAAUAACAAUGAGAUAUUAUCGAUAGAAUACGUUCGACGAGUGAUUAGACGACGAAAGGAAUACGCGUGAAAAUCGAUUCAGUUUCGUCGAAUGAAUAACUUGAAAUCGUGGAUCGAAAGUUGGCGGCAUAUUAUAAAUGCAAAUUACAAUACAAAGGUUAAUGGGUAUAACGAAUUAUCAUAUAUUCUGUGAAUUGUUCCUGAGUAAAGCGGCGAGCGACAGAACGGUAAUAGUCCCAUUAAACACAUACAAGGUAACACGACCAAUUUACAACUGUAAUCACUCGUAACAACGUUGAAUUUAAUGGAACUUCAACUUUUGGAAUUAAACUUACCGAUUGUUCUUUUCACCGCCCCCCCCCACCCUUUACUUUCUUCCGAAUUUGCAAACCACCCUCGAGGUAGAAACGAAAUUACGUGAAAAAUUCGAGCGAUUCGCGUUUUAUGUUGGGAAACUCGGGAAAUCGUAACCAUUAGGAAUUCUUGUUUCGAAAUCCAAUAACAUAUUCCAGCGUCAUUGUAAAGCCGUUUUGCAACGUUUUUAUUAUUAUAGAAAGCGCGACAGGAGCGGGAAUAUGGGUCAGCGUUUGUACGCUCAUCUUGCGGCGUUUUAUAGCUCGAGAGAUAAAACCAGGUAUUCCGGGAUACGUUUUCUGAUAUUCGUUUUUGAUAAAACGAGCUGGCACGUGUGUUUCCGAUCGAUGUUCGGCUCGUUGGUUCGUGGGAAAAUGAUUAUAUUUCAAUUUUGUAUUUAUAUCAAAUCAGCUUCGUUGUUGAAUGGGAGAAAAAAUUAUUUUCUUAUAAAAUUGCCCUCCAACGUAAACGGCUCUUUUCAAUGUUGAUCGUAGAACCCUUCGAAAAAUUAAAUUCUUGAAAGAGAAUUUCACGACAACGUGGAACAAAAAAAUAACAGGUGACGUGAAGAUAUUAUGAUAUUUUGAAUACACGAACAAAUUACAUUUUAUUCAAUUUUGCCUACGUAACGUCAGGAAAUACUUCGAAAAUCGAUAUGGAGCGCCGUUAAAAAAUAAUCGAAUGUAUUCGAUGUUUGAAAUUUACGACGGUCAUACGGCGUACGCGAUGUGCCAGCGUAUCUUUUGAAAACGCGUUGAUCUAUAGCAACAAGCUGAGACUAAAGCAAGCGCGUGAGACCGGAAGUGUAGCUAGGCAGGUAGUGCAUCAAGCGAACGACCACGAAGAGCGGUCAGGUUUCGUCGCAUAUUACAUUUCACCUGGUCGAAAAUUCGUUUCUGGCUGAAACGCGUUCGCGGAUUCGCGCUGCCUGGCUGGAUUAAUUUCUGCGAGUUUUUGGCGUACCCGAGCGAUGUCUCGUGGCCCGGGUUGAGAGGUCCACGCAAAUAUCGGUCGGAUGGCGUGCAAUUCGGUGACAAAGCGAAUUCCAUCGACCGGGGCCCCUUUAGGCUUUUCAUUUGUAAGCCUUAGUUUUCCAGGCGUGUUCUAUCGCUUUUCAAUCGGAGCCCACGCAGCUGGCGAAUGCGAGCUACGAAUGAUGGGGCGCAGAAUUUUUAGAUGGUAUUUUCGCAGGAUUGCCGCGGCAUCGCUGGAAGAGUGGUCAUUUCCAUAACGGGAAAAACAGCAGUUUCAAAUUUUAAGAUAUACCACAAAGGCAUCCUUCUUUUAAUCUUUUAUUUCGAUAGGAUGUUUAGUUACAUGGGAACGAAACGAAACUUUUAUGAUUUUUGUGUUACUCGUUUUUACGUUCGCUUUAUUUACAAGCUAUUUGUAAGUCGUAACGUGUUUGUAAUAUAUGACAGGGUAAUCUUUCUAUUACGUUUGUAUACCACGCAUUCGUUACUUUACACAAUGCCUACGAGAAAGGGCAAUUGUUGUCGGAGACGUAUUAAAUUAGUCACUGUCACGUAGGUUGUUCAAAACAAUGCGACGCUUGCAGCAAUUUUAAAAGAAUACUAAGAUAAAGUGAGACGUCAUAUAUUCAUUUGAAACACUUGAAAGUGGCUCUAUGAGCGUAAAAAUACUGCGUGUCACGAAGCGAGUAAAAAGUACGCGAAUUAAAUCUACCUUGAGAGAAAUUUACAUCAUAUACGUAUUUCUCUCUAUCGUUAUCGUUUGAAGAAGUCAGAUUGAUAAAGCUGAUCCUCUAUUCGCCAAACGAUAAUUAAAUUUUAAAGAAUAUUCAGACGAAAAAGUUUAAGAAUGCCGAGCAAUAGUCACGUAACGCUCUUGUAGUAAACUGCCCGUAUUUUCUACUAAUUUCUGAGUAGCUUAAAGUAGUAAAAUGAUAUGCAAACGUAAUAUAUAAAACUAUAGACAAAUUUGAGAUUUCUAUUCUAACGAAUGAUACACAUGUACCUUUAUCAUGGAAUAACAAACAUGUAAGUAUGAUGUUUCAUAUCAAAUUACAUAAUUCAUGUCCUGUUAACGGUACUGCUUUACUGUAGCGCAAGAAAUUUAAGCUCAGACUUACUUGUUAUCAAACAGCUUCCAGUUUUGGCGACCUGAAGAAAUUGCUAGUUACGAGAGUGUUAAACCAUUAAGGGUUAAAUAAUGGAAUAUUUUGUGAAAAGUACUUCAACGUAGCAUCGGCGAAUUAUUUAUUAUUGUUUUAUAUAGGAAGAACGCAUGCAGCAAUGUCAGAUACUUUAGAAAAGUUCAUUACACAAAUUACAGGCAUACAACAAAGAUUUUCGUGACUUGGUAAACUAUAUUUUAUCAUAUUUCUAGAAACAGGUAUUUCCUCGCGCUCUAUAAAAUUACAAGUGAAAGAACGAAGACAAAAGUAGCGAUGGAAGAAACAUCGAGCGCAUAGUUCUUUGUAACUCAAUAAUACGAUGCGAAUGAAGCUAACAUUGAUUUCUCAUGAGACAAUAAUAAGACCGUCAUCUGAUAAUUAAACAACUAGAAAGAAAUACAAAGAAUUUCCAUUAAUAACUGACGAAGCAACAUUAAUUUGAGUAAAAAUAUCAUCUAACUGAAAUAGCACGCAAUUCCGAAUGCAAACGCACGUAAGAGAUUGAAUAAAGCGCGCUACUGGCAAUGUAUUUUCUGUCAAGCCGAUAUUGCAAUUGGUUUGCCGAGACACGAGGCUUUAAAAUGUCUCAUUUAAAAUAUACAGAUUAUCGAGUGGCUAUUGAAAAUUCCGCAGACAGUAUGACCCACUUUUUCUCCUUGGAAAUACGUACAAACCUGUACCAAUGCAACGGUAGUAAAAAGAUGCUUACUAAGCGUCUGCCACUGACCACCGUACGCUGGCCGGGUUUGUGGUGGAUCAUUGGCAACGUGCAAGCCAGAGCGUAAAGCAAAAUGCUUGAAAUUACGAAUAUUUCGCGAAGAAAACUCAUAUCGAGACUGUAACAAAAACUGUUUUAGGAAACAGAUUAUUUCGCGUUUAAUGGAUUCUAUUACAAUAUGUUGCGAUAAUUUAUAGGGAAAUUUUGCGAGAGCUCUUCUGCUCUGUCUGGUUCUUAUCACUGAUUACCCGAUAAUAGAUUUAUGGAUAUAGAGAUUAGAAUAGAGGCUUAGUAGGUUUUACUAGAUUUAUGGUUAAUUAUGAAUUUAUGAAUGUGAAGAUUAAAACAGAUAAGAUUCGUUAAUUUGUUAAAUUUAUUUGGCACGAGGCAAUAUUAUAGGUGCAAUGCUGUAUUUUAUUAAUAUUCAAUUUAUGCAUCCGAACGCGUACAGGUGUUUUAAAGAGUCGAUGGGAACGUAAACGAGACAGUCUGGGCAAUUCGUUGAAUAUUCUUUUGUUGUUGAAUGGAGAGGAACGAGGGCAAACAAAGGAAUGAUAAUUUAAGUGAGUUCUCCGGCAUACACAAUGAGAUGAAUACAGCUCCUCUUCUUUGUUACGCCGAUACCCAUUACUUAUGUAACUUGUGAGUGUUCAGAGCAAAACGGUAACUAAAAAUUGCGAACAAGUAGCGCUGCCUGCGAUAUAUGUAACAAUGACAAUAUGUUCGAUAAAAUGUGCGAUCUCUGCAUUUCACACCGCGUAAAAUAUAAACUUAGAGCUUUCUGUGAGAUUUUCUCUUGCUUACGUACAAGCAGCAACGUUUCAUCGAAGUGGACGCGCGCGACACUCGAAACGACGUCUAUCCGUACUAAGCCGAAGCAAAGAAAAUAUUUCCACUAACUGUCAGAGCAUCGAGCGACGUAUCCGGAUACAUCGUAACUGUCGCGCUUCCAUAUCGCUUGCGCAGCAAACCGCAGCCAUUGUGUGUAUCCAUCAACCAUUUCUCCAUCCAGGAGAAAGGGAACCGUCUGAUUAUCGAUCUGGCAGCAUCGUUGACGGAUCGCGUUAUUGACAAUGCACGUCGUGCCCGGAUCCAGACAAGUUUGCGUUACCUAUAGAUUAUGUCUGAUGAGUUAGAGAGCAGUCCAGCUUGAGUCAACCUCGCGAGAACCACUGACUAUGUGAUUUUCUGUGUUCCAUCGUGCCAUUUACACGCGGGAAGUCGUUCGUUUCGCUAUUUAGAUCACGCGGAUUGCUUUUCUAUUCGAAGUCGAGAUCCACUCUGUAUAUCAAUGAUGGACAUGAACGGCGAAAAAUAUCGGAAGAAACCGCCAGAACUACGUGCACGAUCGAUGAAGUUUUCGAGUUCAUUGAUGGGCUUGUAUCUUUUAUCGAUCGUACACUGAAACAGUACUUGACUUGAAGUUUCAGACAUUUUAUUUGGAACUUCACUACGGCAAAAUAAUAAUAAUAAUCUAUUGUCGCUUAGCGAUAUUCCUCCAUAUUUGUCCCUAUUGCUUCGAGUGAUGUAGGAUGUGUUUGUUUAUCAUUGAUUGAACUCUACUCAUGUAUAUAUAUAUAUAUAUGUAUAUGCGUGUAUGUAUGUUUACCGUUCUGUGAAAUUGGUUUGUUUAAUCGUAUAUCAUUUGUGGCCAAGAUAUGCUCUCGACGUGUUAUAUUUUCCACAUUUCCUGCGUUUUUACAAAGUUACACGAAUGUUUCAUAAAGAAGCGAUCAUUUUGAUGGUGACGAGGAACACUUUAAUUGGAAAUUUGUCGUCUAUGAAUUAAAAAUAUUUCUGAUAACAACAAUAAUAAUAAUAGUAAUAAUAAUUCCUUUCAUUAGAAGGUAUAUUCUUCUAAUUUCAUUUAUGUUUCUAUCGGAUUUCUAUGUAUCGCAUCCCCAUAAGCGAAAAUGAAGAAAUUCAACGAAUAACGUAAUUGCACAAGAAAAGAAAAAGAUUAAAAGCGUACGAUGAUACCACGACUCGAAGAUGUCGGCUCCAGAAGCUGUUUUUUCUUGGACGAUUACCCUUUGAAUCGAUCAACUUUUAUCGCAACUUUUCCGCCUUUUAAAGCAACGAACGCGUGAAAAUGUUUCAAUUAGGCAGGGUGUUCACAUCUUUGCAAAAGUUUAAGGCCUUACAGUUUGGUUGAGCGUGAAGAACGUCUAGGCAGCAGCUUUUUCCCAGACACGAUGUUCUCGUUGCACCUCUGAGAAUUUAAGUAGGUCGCCGUUUCCUCGUGGUCAUUCGGUCGAAGACAGAUCAGCAAAUUUUUUUCACUCGUUCAAUCCCAUAGAUCACCGAAAACUAUCGAUAAAUCAACACCGUGCUCUGGAAUCUUUGCGCUCGAAGCUCCCCAUAGAAUUUUAAUGAUUUCUCCGAUAACGCGAAUAUGUCGUUUUAUAUGUACAGUUUCGAGUAUGCGCUGCAGCGUACAAAUAACAAUUUGUUUACCAAUGUGCAA
Bombus pyrosoma is the source of this 6452-nucleotide long non-coding RNA. RefSeq lists it as uncharacterized. The transcript has 2 exons. The record is from RefSeq and is a predicted model, not a curated record. NCBI's taxonomy places the organism in Eukaryota, Metazoa, Arthropoda, Insecta, Hymenoptera, Apidae.